GCACCAGAAGGUCCGGAGUGCGGGUGACCCCGAGGAUGUGACACACGGAAUCUGCCCAUGGCCCUGCCCUCACUGAGUCCUUGUCCACCUCCUACACUUGUCUGCGGGGGAACAGCAGUAGCCUCGUGUCCAGGCGGUGAAUGUAGGAAUUUAAGGUCAGAGCAGAAGGGCGCUGCGCUCCCGGGUGGCCGAGGGCACUUCCUAGUCAGUAGUUUCGGGUAGCGGAGGUGUUGUUCCUGUCAGGGCUCCGCUCAGCCUGGCCUUGUCCCUGAAGCUCUCGCCACCUCCUGCGCCACCCAUCACCGUCUGCUCGGGCUCCCUCUGCUUGAGCAUGUCCCCCUGAGAGGUGUCAUCAGGCUCCACGGCCUCUGCUCCCGUCUAAGGUCCCACGUCCAACAACAGCCUCUCCGUAAAGUACCGGGACAGGUCACAUCCAAUGACAAGCAAUGGGCCGUGCCCUGUGGUUGGGGCGCCGAGGGCCACGGUGCUCCCACUGGGCCCAUCCUCGGGCCUGGACACCCUCUGGGGCGACCGGGAGCAGGGCUGCAAAGGCCUGCCCCGUGGCCUCCUUCCGGACCACUUGGCCCCCUGCCCCAGGGUCCCCCUCUCCCUGGCCCAGGCGGUGGGUGGGACUGCAGCCCACUUUUCCGGCUGCCCCAACCCGCUGUGCUGUCCCCCGUCCUGUGCCGGACAUGCACCACGGAGUCACACUCACCAGGCCUCAGUUAGCUGUGCGUUGUCACCUCUGUCUUGUCAAGCACCUGUUUGCUGGGAUCCCAAGUCCUAGGGCGCACCUGUUUGCUGGGAUCCCAUGUCCUAGGGCGCACGGAAGGCCACCUGCAUAGUGUCUGCAGUGCGGGAAGGGCUCGGUCCAGGUCGCUGAGCGGUCCAGACCUCGAGCCCUACCACAGUGGGCCUGUUUCCUGGGUGAGAGCAGGUGUAUUGGGGAGGGGGGGUCGAAUGACUAUUUAAAUCCUGGACAUGUAGGGCUGAAAGGAAACACAGGCAGGACAGCUGGGCGCCCUUUCCCGCGGCGAGGUUCAGGGAACAGUAACGGAGGUAACUUAUCGAAGGCCUUCUGCGUUCCAGGCAUAUUCACAGACCUCAUUUCUCUCAUAUCCCAGAAUAACCUUGUGACACAGACGCUAGUGUCACCACUUUAGAGCCGACAAAAUAAGGGUCGGAGGUCACACGACACGUUUAAAGUCCCAGCUGGCAGCUAAUCGAGGGGGAUGCAAAUCCAGAGCCUCUAGCUCUUGCGCCCUUGGAUUUUCCAGGACACACACUGCUGGUUUUCCUUUAGUCACAAAGCCAGGGUGGGGACCCGAGUCUCCAUUCGAGGUGUGAUCCCCCUGCCCCAAGUCACCUCAUCUCCAACAUGAGGCAUUGGCAGCCAUACAAGGGCGUAGGAGGCAACUGGCUCCAGAGCAAACUGCAACCAGAGGCGGCUUGUUUAGCCCAUCACGGCGUGCGGCGCGCCACCCGCGGAUCCCGUGGAGUCCCGCAAGUCCUCAGCAGCCAGGGAAGAUGACCACAGGUUUCAUGGAGCAUCAGUGCUUGGAAGUGAGCAGGAAUGAUAAAGGCACACGUUUUCCUUGGUGCCACAGCCACGAUCCCACUAGAUCUUCACCAGGUGUGUUGACGAUGGAUGUGCCUGGAGCCACAUUAAUGCAGAAAUUCAUUUCUUCAGAAGAUGAUCAUUUCCUUGCCCAUUUGGAAAACUGAUAUUCAGAGGAUUGGAAGGAUCACUCCUACCAAUCAAGAGGCUACACGUGCCUGGAAAUGUUCACCUGAAACAAGUGUCAGCACCCACCUCCGACAACGCCGACACCCACGCUGCUCCUCCUCGUGUUCAUUGGAGCCACGUGAAACCACUCAUUAGACUUUAUAUUAUAUGCUUCCACGGAUGAUAAACCUGUAAUAAAGCACAGUGCUCUUCAUUUCCUCCUCCCAAAGAAUGUGAGCGUAUGACCGUGGUUCAGCAAGCGUGCACGUUCCGCAGGACACACCAAGGUGGUGCUACAGCUGAAGUUUGUGGCCUCUCCCUGGCCCACGGAUUUGGACCUGCUGCACGUGCUUAUUUGUCAUCUUCCAAAACUCACUCUUGCCACUUCCUACAAAAGCAGAAACAGAAAACUGGCCACACUGUGAGGGUGGGGGGCACAGCACACAGGGGAUGGAGGUGCCCAUAGGCCUACUGAGAGGAUCCAAGAGAGAGGCUUUCCCAGCAGCUACUGGGCAGGCUUCUUGAUGGAAAUCUACCACACAGUUAGUAGGAACUAUGUCCCAUGUAUGUCCUCAGAAAGUGCUAUGUACCACUUUCCCAGACUUUCUGCCUCCUAGUCUGGAUCUCCAGAUUUAGUACUCUGAAUAGGGCCAGAAAGAAAUGGUCACUUUCAGCAGCAUUUACACAGCUGGGGAAUCUGGGUGCUCACUCACACACACAAACUUGUUGGAGAUGGUGGGGCAAAAAUGAGGAAUGUCUUAUGCUGCCAUGAUUAAAAACAAAUAUUUCCCCAAUUAGAAAGAAAAGUGUUGCUAUAGACAAUCAAUUCAUUUUAUUGUUUUGAGUUCAGUGGACAAAUGCUGUCCUAAGUAAGAAAAAAAAAAAAUGGUUUACCCUCCCUGGCUUAGGCCACUGCCCUACGCUGCUGGCCUUCAUACCAAACCUCUUUAGGGCAGAUCUUAAUACAGAAGCCUCUGCAUUUUGAUGCACAUCACAUAUUUAUCUGUUGCAACACAGCCUCUGGCCCACCCUUCCCCUGUUUUGUUCUUUGGAAGUCCUUUUCUUGGGAUUAAAACGUCUUAAGCCCUGCAUAGUGUUGCAGUCUCUCCCAGUUUGGAUUCUAGAAUACUUUUUUCUAAACUUUAUUUUUUAAGCUUUUAUGUUUUUUAAGUAAUCUUUACACCCAAAGUGGGGCUCAGACUUACAACCCCGAGAUCAAGAGUACAGGCUGUACCAACUGAACCAGGGAGGCACCCCUAUAAUCUUUUUAACCAGUCUGUCUCCAUUAGCUCUCUAAAAUUGGGCAUUAUCUAUGGUCCUGCCUGCCCUGAGCCCUCUUUUCAUUUUCUGCUUGUUCUCCCUGAAGCAUUCUAUCCCAUUUGUGUGUCCCCAGUUAUAUUUAACUAGCACCCCCGUAUGGAUGCUCCCAGAUUCAACCUCUCUCCCAAAUCUCAAUAUAUGAAUCUUCAGCUCUUAGUCUCCACAUGACCUGGUUAACCACCAUGGCUCUUUCAAACAGACAGAGCCACCCGCAACCACACACCCAGCAACACAUACAAGCAGUCCUUUAAAACCUUCACAUGAUUCACCACUUUAGGCCACUUACCUUGGCUCUACUAUCUGAAUUUUUCUUCAUUGUGAAUUUUCCCACUCCUUGCCUGCAUGCUUGGCAAAGAUUAUCUGGCUGAGUCCGAUUAUCUCCUCAAAAUAAAUCAAGGUCUUCCAAUGGCCUGCUGUCUUUGCCUACUGCUAAUAAACUUGCCCAGUUGGAGAACUUCUAAAAUUGAUAGUGUACUCCACUGCUCAUUCUCCUUCAAGCAAUCAAGACUGAGACCCACCUACACCUCAAAGAGUGUUAGUACCUUUCUCUGGACACCUGCUUGCCCUCCUGUCCUUUGGUGUCUUAAUGGCUCUAGUAUCCACAUUCCAAGGCUAAGUGAAACCUCAGUCAAUUCCUUAUUCCCUUUCCUCUCCUUGUUUAUUGCGGUAAAACACAUAACAUAAAAUUUACCAUCUUUAUCUUUUUUAAGUAUACAGUUCAGAAGUUUUAAGCAAACUCACAUUGCUGUGAAAGCAACCUCCAGAACUACUUCAUCUUGCAAAUGCGAAACUCCAUACUCAUUAUAGAACUCCCCUUUUCCCCCUCCUACAUUCCUUCCUCUCCUUAAACCCUAAAAUAAAUUCUUUCACAAAUCCUGUGGAUUUUUUUUCUGUAAUGCCAGAGGAAAUCAUAAGAUUUAGUGGUAUAAGGGAUCUGAAAGGUCCCCUGACACAGCUUUUAUGUCAGAGUAACUUCUAAAAUUUUCAUAUUCAAUGGGUAUCUGGUACAUUUUGUGCACAUCAACAGGCAGCAAGGC
Canis lupus familiaris (dog) is the source of this 4083-nucleotide long non-coding RNA. RefSeq lists it as uncharacterized. The record is from RefSeq and is a predicted model, not a curated record. NCBI's taxonomy places the organism in Eukaryota, Metazoa, Chordata, Mammalia, Carnivora, Canidae. The transcript is spliced from 5 exons.